AGACUUUGAAAUCUAAAAGCACUUGAAUUUUUAGCACUGAAUUAUUUUACAUUGAAUUAUUGCAUGUGAUUUUUUUUUGCCUCUGAAUUAAACACUUUAAUUUUUCAGUAUAUCAUUUUCACUUAUUUUAUUUUAAUGUAAAAAAAAAAUCAAAAGUAAAAAUUCAAGUUUAAAAAAUUCAAUUAAAAUAAAUUCAGGUUGCUCAAAUUCGACCUGUCAAAUUCGACUGCUAAAAUACAACGCUCAAAAUUCGCUGUCAACACCCGGGACACACAGGAUGAGCAAUAGAUUCAGUCUUCAAUCGAGCCAACAACCAGCCAAUCACAUCACGCUCCGAAGAUCACGUGACAGGUAGCGCCUCACGGCUCAGAGCCGCUCAACGCGAGUCACAGCCCCCUCCGCUGCUCCUCUCGAGUAGGAUAUUUUCUCGCAGAAAAAGAAAGGAUAAUAAAAGGUAGGUAAUGUUCUUAAAAUGUUUAAUUAUAUCCAUGUAUCAAAUGCAGUAAUUUUUCAAGUUUCUUUUGUAUUCCACAGGUUUCCUUUCUCCAAACUUUUAAAGAACAAAUAAAGAAAUCCAAUUUCAUGCA
Long non-coding RNA from Astyanax mexicanus (Mexican tetra), 587 nucleotides. RefSeq lists it as uncharacterized. The transcript is spliced from 2 exons. Lineage: Eukaryota; Metazoa; Chordata; Actinopteri; Characiformes; Acestrorhamphidae. The record is from RefSeq and is a predicted model, not a curated record.